AUUGAACGCUGGCGGCAUGCCUUACACAUGCAAGUCGAACGGCAGCGCGGGAGCAAUCCUGGCGGCGAGUGGCGAACGGGUGAGUAAUAUAUCGGAACGUGCCCAGUAGUGGGGGAUAGCCCGGCGAAAGCCGGAUUAAUACCGCAUGAGACCUGAGGGUGAAAGCGGGGGAUCGCAAGACCUCGCGCUACUGGAGCGGCCGAUAUCAGAUUAGCUAGUUGGUGGGGUAAAGGCCUACCAAGGCAACGAUCUGUAGUUGGUCUGAGAGGACGACCAGCCACACUGGGACUGAGACACGGCCCAGACUCCUACGGGAGGCGGCAGUGGGGAAUUUUGGACAAUGGGCGCAAGCCUGAUCCAGCAAUGCCGCGUGCAGGAAGAAGGCCUUCGGUU
Molecule: ribosomal RNA, 393 nt
Filed under: uncultured bacterium
Lineage: Bacteria
Description: bacterial SSU rRNA
Rfam family: Bacterial small subunit ribosomal RNA
Source: RNAcentral